RNAcentral lists this ribosomal RNA (292 nucleotides) under uncultured bacterium. RNAcentral describes it as "partial 16S ribosomal RNA". It matches the Rfam family "Bacterial small subunit ribosomal RNA", at positions 505 to 796 of the family's 1533-position model. The record is from RNAcentral.
GUGCCAGCAGCCGCGGUAAUACAGAGGUGGCAAACGUUGUCCGGAUUUAUUGGGUGUAAAGGGCAUGUAGGUGGUUUUGUAAGUCAAAGGUGAAAUGGCCCGGCUUAACCAGGUCAUUGCCUUUGAUACUGCAAGGCUUGAGUACGGAAGAGGAGAGCGGAAUUCCCAGUGUAGCGGUGAAAUGCGUAGAUAUUGGGAGGAACACCGGUGGCGAAGGCGGCUCUCUGGUCCGAAACUGACACUGAGAUGCGAAAGCCAGGGGAGCAAACGGGAUUAGAUACCCCGGUAGUCC